GCUUCUCUCUCUGCCCCUCACUCACUUGCGCCACCCCCCCCCCCAAAAAAAAUUCUCUCUCCCUCUCUCUGCCCUUCCCCUGUUCUCUGUAAAUAACUUAAAAAAAAAAAAUCUCUUUCCAGAUCCCUGGCUUGAGACCCACAGCUGGAGCUGGAAUACCAGCUCUGCUUUAAUCUAAGCUCACGCAUAUUUGGGCCCUUACUUUCUUGCACAGCCUGAAGCAGCCUGUGUCUUGUGGCCCUUAACUGACAGGUCUUUUCAGGAAAUGCUGGGGCAGAAUGGCACCUGGCACUGCCCUUGUGUAUUUGGGACGGGAGCGCACCAACUGCAAAGCUAAAGGACACAGGAUUAAAACUUUCCACUGCAUUGAACAAGACAGCAGGCAAGUCCACUUGGAAGUUGGAAGCUGGCUUGGUGCAAGCAUGCAGACUUGGGCCGGACACCAGUCACAGCUACUCCACUGCAGGCUUCGGUCGUAUAUUGACUUUCUAGAGGCUGGCAAGUCCAAGAUCAACGAGCUGGCAGAUUGGGUGUCUGGUGAGAGCAUGCUUCCUGGUUCACAAACCAUCUCGCUGUGCCCUCACGUGGCAGAAGGGAGGAAGUCUGGGGCUCCAUCCACGUGACCUCAUCACCUGUCCCUCCACAACCGUCACACUGGGGAUUAGGUGUCAAUGUAAGUAUUCUGGAGGUGCACAGACACCUUACCUGGUCCUGCUGUCAGGCUGUGUACGGGCCACACUCUGUCUGGGACUUAGGCCUGAUGCCGUUGCCACUAUGAGGUGAAAUCGCACCACUGGAAAGGACUCUACAGCUAGGAACUCUUGACCCAUAGUAACAUGGAACUCAAAGUAACUACCCAGAAUUCUAACCAGAGUUAACACAUUUAUUCAUUCUUUUAUUGAUAAUCUUCCUUUUGUGCACACAUAUGCAUGGGUGUGGCAUACACACAGGUAACCUGUGAUACUUGGUUUCCCAUUACGUGCCAGAAUCCUCACCCCUUCACUCAAGCUUGGAGCUGUGACUCCAUUCCAGGGGCAGAUGGCAUCCCAGUGUGCUUGCCAGGACCCCAGAGGGACAAAGCCUUCAGUUUCUCCAAAGGAGGCACUUUCAGGAACCACUUCUUCAAACACUGGGCCAUAGCAUCUCUCCUCUUUGAACCAACUCAGACUUUUAAAGACAGAGAGGUACACUCUCUCCUCAAAGAGGCCUGCUUCUGCCAGCCCUCUAACUCCUGCCCUGCCCCUCUCUGCCCACCCUGAUGUGAGGUCCGUAUCUCAUACUCAGUCUUGGGCGCCCAGCUCUGGUGCUUCCUGUGCUCACGGGGGGCAAGAGGUGUGCGGAUGGGGGGCUGCUGUCCAGGGGCCCGCUCACGCAGUCCCUAAAGACCCUGUCUUUGACUGAGUGCCAAAACAGGGGCUCAGGAUUUCAGAGUUUUCUCCCCGUUGAAUGCUGUUAGGUUUCACACCACACAUUUCCAUCCUGUCUCUUUCCAAAACUGAGCUGAGGUGGCUUUCAGGUAUGUCUGGUCCUCAGCCUCCUUCUCUGCAGAGCAGCAGCUUCCCAUAUCAAAGGAAUCCCAGGCCACAGGGCUGAUGUCCCAAACCCCAGCCUGGCCCACAUGCCUUCUCCAACUGGGGCUCUAGCUGCCUCUCCACCACCUCUCUUACUGCUCCAGCCCUCACCCCACCUGCUGCCUUCUGCAACCACAGUGUCUUGGCCCAGGUUUCCCUUCUUUGUAUUUUCAUAGCCCUGGGCAGACCUCUACUAUGGCCUUACUUCGCUCAUGACCAUCCUGUUUACUAAUCUGUUGCUCUCACUAGAUGUUAAGCCCCUCCGUGGCCGGGGCCAGUAUCUCCUGCAAUUUACCUUUGUAUCUCAGAUGCCUGGCACAUAAGAGGUGCAAGAUAAACGCUGAAUGAAUGAAAGAAUUAACGAAUGAAUGAAUGGUGGAGACUCAAGGACACUUUGUCACUAGCUCCUGGGAAUGGGCUGUGGAUUCUUGUGGGGAAGAGACAUCAUGACCAGAGGGUCAGAGAAAGAAAAUUAAGGGGGAUGCCCAGGGAUCAAGAGGU
Felis catus (domestic cat) is the source of this 2072-nucleotide long non-coding RNA. RefSeq lists it as uncharacterized. The transcript has 3 exons. NCBI's taxonomy places the organism in Eukaryota, Metazoa, Chordata, Mammalia, Carnivora, Felidae. The record is from RefSeq and is a predicted model, not a curated record.